GUAUCUGGAAGUAUUAUUAAAUGCGACUAUAACAUCUUGUUGUUUCUCUUCAGAGAGACUCAACAUAAAGUCUCUUUCAUAGCAGUACAAAAACAAAUCGGCGACCAGGGGUGCACAAUUAGUACCCAUAGGAAUUCCUACGAUCUGUUUAAAUAGGGUAUUACCAAACCUGACAUAAAUGUUGUCUAAAAGAAAAGAGAGUGCUCUACAAACUUCGUCACAGGUCCACAUAGUAUAAUGUUUAACAAUACCGUUAGUAAAAAAAAGCUUUGUUAGAAUUACAUGCUAGAAAGGUAACUUUUUCCCGUGCAAAAGUUUUCUGAAUUAGGGAAAUUAGUUUAUCAUUGAUUAAUUUAUGUGGCAAAGUUGUAUAAAGUGUAGAAAAAUCGUAUGUACUGACAGUUGAAGCUUGAAAGUUAUUAAUUUUGAAUUUAUCCAAGAUUUCACCAGAAUUUUUAAUUGACCUUAAGAGAUGUUUGCCUGUGUUUUCAUAGACUUUAUCACAAUAUCUAAUUACAUGUGUUUUAAUGGCAGUCAAACAAGACGUCAAUAAAAUAGAAAGUUUACUUGUAGUGCAAGAUGUAGAAUUAGCAAUAAAUCUGGCUUAGUAAGGUUUUUUAUGUAAUUUAGGAAUCCAAUACAUAAUAGGAAGUUUGAGUUCUUUUUCAUUUAUUUGGACUUUAAGAUUAGAAAUAUUAGUAAAAUGAUUGUUUACAAUGUCUUUUUCGGAGGCAGAGGUUUUAGAAUACGCAUUAGUGCUAUUUAGUUCCUUAUGCAAAACGUUAAUGUAAUGGAUUCGUCAAACAAUUAUAAUAUUAUUAGACGCCUUGUCCGCUGGCACCACAACAAAUUUUGAAUGAAAAGCUAGAAUAUCUUUUUUCAGAUGUCUUAAAGUAAGUCUUGGUUUAGGUGGCAAAAGAUGUUCAUUUCCACGAUAAAAAUUAAUACGUGAAUCAAUUAUUUUAAAUAAAACCGUAAUUAAUAGAAAUAAUUCAAGGAAUGUUUUACGGAAUUUAAUGGAUAUAAAAGUUGGCUUAGGAUAUGGAAAUAUUUCACAACGGCCUUAGAUCAACAAAGAUCUUUGUGAUGCAGAAUUAGGAUUGUGUAGAUAUAGAUAAUUUCGAACAACAAAAAUAAAAUACCAUGUUCCUUUGUUGACAAGAAAAUCAGCUGAGUAAAUCUACAGUGACAAUGAUUAUUUAUGAUGCUUCUACUAGAGUUCAACAUGAACACCUGGUUCCUGGCUUUAUUGAAACAUAUCCAAAAGAAAAUUGUUUUAAAAAAGUGCAUCACAAAUACUAUCUAAAAUAUUCUAGUUCCUGAAUGAAACGAAAACAGACCAGCAAUGUGUAACUUACUUUUGCAUCUUAAAUUGUACCUAAAAUCUGUUCUCUUCAAGAAAAAUUUACAUCCAAAAAGAAAGGUCUUACCAAGACCACUGUGAAAUAUGUAAGAGUUCCUUCAGAAAACUUGUUUGUGAAUUACAUAUAUACCAUUAGAAAACACAAAUGAAACUUGUAAAAAACGCUUAAAAUUAAAGUGGAUUGGUCUAGAAUGUACAUAUAUUCCAGAUUAAAGUACUUUGUAUUGAUAAAUAAAUAAGAGAUUGCGCCUUUUGGAUACUCUUAUGAGAUAUUACUGAAAACAAAAAAGUUGAUUGAUUUCUAAAGAGAUUUUAGUAUGAACACAAUAUAUGAUGAGUUAUAAUAUUUUGUUGUAGAAACCCUUUAUUAUAUGCUAUAUAUGUUCAUAUGUCAUUCGGUCAUGUAUUUUAUACACUUUGUAAUACCAACAUCACUCGUAUAUACAAUUCCUUUCGUGGUUUUAACAUAUGAUACUAAAUACUAUCAACAUAUUUAUUUAUGGCAUUGUAAAUAUUCCAUUAUAGACCAAUUCACUUUAAAGAAAGUAUGAUUUAAAUUGUUUUUAUUUAAUUAGAUAAAAUUAUAUGUGAAAAAGUUGAACCUAUAUCUACAUAAUGACUAACAUUGAAAAAAAAAUAAUGUUUAAUCUUGUACAAAUUAGUUUAGUAAUAAUAACUUAAGAUAUAAGUUUUUUGUUGUUGUUGUUGUUUUUUUUUUAAAUUUGUAUGCUUAUGUUACAAUAAUGAGAUAUAAGGAAAUUUGGAGGUUUCUUAUAUAAUUACAAUUAUAUGGCAAAAAUGAUAUUUGAAAGGUUGAUAUAACUUUAGAAAAAAAGAGCGAAGGUGUAUAUACAUGUAUUGCAAUUUGCUAUUGGUUUUAUCUUAAUUAAGAUGAACAUAUAUUAUUAGUUAUAAUGAUUUAACAAAUUAUAUAACGUAGAUUAAAUGGUUGUAAGUAAAUAUAACCAAAGCUUUCUGGGUAUCUUAAGACAACGGUUUUUAUACAUGACCAUAUGCACUUUCAAAACGUUUUCAUAAGGAAAAUUGUAUAAAACUACAACGAUUGUCUUUUUCGUUUAAUUAUAAAGAAUGAAAAUAGUAUCUUAAUCUUCCCAUUCUGGAAAUUUCAUCAGUCAUGGCAGUUGCGCGUGCUGUACUAUAGCACCUUACAAUGACGUAAUUUUACCGUAAUAAAUCACAUCCUGUUGUAAGAAAAUAGUUACGGUUGUAAUGACAUAAAUUUCCGUUGAACAUUGGGAAAAAGAAUUUAAAAUAUAAUGGAAUAUGGUAGAAUAUCCAAGAAAAAAUAUCUGACAUGCGUUUGUGGUUCGGAUGGGAAUGUCCGUCCAGAGGGGACCCUUCCAUGUGCGGUAGCUUGGCAAGUGUCUUAGUUUGCCCAAUGGGCGGGUCUCCUCGGGACAGAUAUAUUCCGAUCCGAACCGCAACAUAAUUAUGACAUAUAUUAUUAAUCUAAAAGAUCUUCAUAGUACACUUAAAUCAUUACAAGACAAUAGAAAUCAUUAUUAGUGCUGUUCAGAUGUGUUUAUCAAUUAUAGGUGCAUCUAUAUAAUUGUACAUUAUUGUAUAUUAUCCAUGUUCUAGUUAUAUUUGAUGUUGUUCUGCUUAUAUAUAAACAUAUGUUUAUAGUUAUCUAUAAGUUCUUACCAUUUUUAUGUUUGAGUUACUGUGUAUCUCAUUGUUAAACUGGUAUAUUUAUUAUUGACAUGUACAUUAAACUUCAGAGAAAAGAAAACACAAAAUGACAUUAUAGUACUUAUCUCUUAAUAUGUUAUAAAGAAAGUAACAUACAUUCAGUUAACACGAUAAGGGUACAUCCAGAAGGAUGGGAUAUUGUCAUGUUACUAUAUGUAUGACGUCAACUUUUGCGUCAUUGUAUAAUCAAUGUUGUAACAACAUAUUUUUAAUAUUGUCAGACUGUCUUUUUAGUAUUAGAUUAUUCUUUGUAAUUGUUUAAAUUAAUGCACACUUUGAAAUUUGGUAUAUUGUAUUUAGUUUCAGUCUUCUUAUUUCUAUUUUACAUAGAGCACAACUGCACGCACUUUAUAUUUGUUACAAGAAUAAUGCCAAGUAAAAUGAUCAUUACAUCCAUGUAGGACGUAUAACAGCUGCAAACUCUAAUGUCAUUAUUAGAUUAUCGCUUACUUUUAGAUUAAAUUUUGAUAUUAUCUAGCUAGCUUACGGAACGUCGCUGGUUCUACUCAGGUGCCCGUUCGUGCCUGAAAUAAUGCACGAAAGGGCACCUAAAAUCUUCCUCCACCAGUAAAGCUGGAACGUCGCCAUAUGACCUAUACUGUGUCGAUGUGACGUAAAACCCAAAACAAACAAAUCAAAACAAAUUCAAACAUUUAGAAAGUGUUUUAUAUAGAUCAAACUACAGUAAUUUUUUUUAAAUAUACAAAAAGUUUAACUACUGUAACAUUCUUUUAGUGACAGCAAUGCAACUUUAUUACCAUACAUUUGCAAACUAGUUAUAAAUAUAAGCUUUUCAAAGAUAUUAUGCUUGUAACGAAUUUCGAGUGUUUCAUUAAAUUGCACCCAUAUAUGCCCUGUGUACUUAUUUGCAUUCGCCUUAAGCGAAAAAUAAUAUCUUUAAAAGAUUUAGAAAUAAUUAAUGUUUUUUUUAAACUUGAUUAAUACAUGUAUAAAUGACAACUUGCAUAUCCUGUGUUUUAGUUAACCUGAGUGCAUUGUCCUUGUGGUGAAUUCUUAGGAUCGUCGAAACUUUAAAAAUAUCGCUACAAAAGUGCAAUGACUAGAGAUAAGAUAUUUGUUUUGUAGCAUUUUCUAAUAAAACUUUACUUUGAAGUUUGUCCAAAUCAUGCUCUAGGGUUAAAUCUGACCCCGCCUUUGGGUUCUAUUUUACAUAGACUCAUGAAGGGAACAUCUGUUAAGUUAUUCUUCCUUAAAGGUCGUUGCAUAGAGCUCAGAGAUUUUAUAUGGGACAUUGUCUUAAUAAAUUGCCAAAAUCAAUGGAUUUCAGUUGAGUGAAUUAGGGACAACAUCUUAUUACUUUUAGAUAUGUUUUUUUGUUUACAUGUAUAUAGUUUUCAUAGAAACGAUUAUGUAUAAUGUAUUAAGAUAUGUAUUUUUGUAUUACGAAUGUAUUCAAUAUAGCACUUAUUCUCUAUUAACCCAUUCAUAUCAGUAAUUAUACCCUUACACAAUGAAGUUGUAAAGAAGGUUUGUACUGGAAUCACCUUGGUUUUCCUUCAUGCUUUUUAUAUUUAGUUUUCUUGAAUAUUCAUAGGUAGAUAAAUCUAAUAAAAAGGCUGUGUGUAAAAACCAUAUUUCUUAUAACAGAAUUUAUAACACAUAAAACCCUUUAAUGUUCGCAAAGCUUAAUUUUUGGUUCCAAGCCAUUGAGGUAAAUUGCUCCCAUGUGCACAUUUUAGAGUUAUUUCUAUUAUGUAUUUUAAAUUUUCAUAUUUUUACAUUUUGCCUAAACACAUCUCAUACAUAAUUGGAGGUUACAAUCUACUUGAAACGAUUUGCCAGAUAUAUCUUAUUGGGGUAAAUGCAGUGACAUAAUUUUGUAGGUAUUGCCCUUUGUUAUAGUUUAGACAUAUUUUUUGUGUAGAGCAUAAUUUUUAGUCCAUAAUUAUAAUGUUUGAGCAUGAAAGUUUAACUUUCUGACAAAACAACAGACAAUGUUAUUUGUACAAGCUAGGGGAGAGGAUGUUAUAAAACCUU
Ruditapes philippinarum (Manila clam) is the source of this 5074-nucleotide long non-coding RNA. RefSeq lists it as uncharacterized. The transcript is spliced from 3 exons. The record is from RefSeq and is a predicted model, not a curated record. Lineage: Eukaryota; Metazoa; Mollusca; Bivalvia; Venerida; Veneridae.